GGGUGAUUAGCUCAGUUGGUAGAGCAGCUGACUCUUAAUCAGCUUGUCACAGGGUCGAUCCCUGUAUCACCCACCA
RNAcentral lists this transfer RNA (76 nucleotides) under Candidatus Firestoneibacteriota bacterium. RNAcentral's name for it is "tRNA-Lys". It matches the Rfam family "tRNA". From Rfam's summary of the family: Transfer RNA (tRNA) molecules are approximately 80 nucleotides in length. Their secondary structure includes four short double-helical elements and three loops (D, anti-codon, and T loops). The record is from RNAcentral. Lineage: Bacteria; Candidatus Firestoneibacteriota.